AGGAUCUGAAGCGGGCUCUGCACUGACAGCAGAGAGCCUGACAUGGGGCUCAAAGUCACAGACCAUGAGAUCAUGAUCUGAGCUGAAGUCAGAUGCUCAACAGGUUGGGUCACUCAGGUGCCCUUAAUCUUAGCAUUUCUUAAAGAUGACAAAUUUCCUGAGCAAUUUUAUUUUGAGCAGACAGAACCAAGAUAUAAAAAGUAAGAGAGAAAGAUGAAAGUAGAAAGGUGAGCCAUGAGUGUUGGAAGGACGGAGGAUGGGCAGAAUGCAAGCCCUCUGGCAUUCUCAAGCGAGGUGGGGGGACACCCGCACAGGAAGAGAUUUCCCGAGAUUGUGUCCACUGCCUGUGUGACCCAGGCACCAUGCAGGGCUCACGGGACACAAGCACAAGGCAGGCCAAGGCCAGUGCCAGGGCUCUGAGCUUCAGGAGCGAGGGGAAUUGAGGGCGUGCCCCCCCGGGGUGGGGUCUGCCAGAGACCGCAGGGCUGCACUGUGGCCCAGGGGCGUCACCCUCCGUGUGCACAGCUGGUGUCGGCACGGGCAAGGAAGCAGUUUCCAGAAGGCCGGCACGGUCACCAGACACAGCUGAAGGGUGACAAAAACAGAAGUGCUCCUGGAUGUCCUGGCCACGGAGGACACUGACCAGGGUCAGGGGCCUUGGGGUUGGGCUCCGAUGCGGUGGUGAGGUGAGUGCGAGGGAGCAUGGGAGACACCGGAGCAACGACAGGGGCCUUCUUUCCCUGCCCGGAGGAGACCUAGGUCUGUCCGCCUCACCGCUCAUGUUUAUUUCUUCUAAGUUAAGGUUGCUAAGUCCCACAGGCUCCAAACAAGGGCCACUGUGGGAAGCUGAAUGUCACAUAGAAAACCCACCCUCACUGACUCGAAGAACCAGAACCAGAACUGAGGUCAACUGCAGCCGCCAGAAGUGAGGAGACGUCAGAAGACAAUCACUGAGGGGAGCCCACACCCUGAGCAUGAACGCGGCUCUCUGGUCAACCUAGCUAGCACAUGCUGCGUGUGGUGGGGACAGGCGCUGACUUCAAGCCCAGCCCAAGAGUCUCUAUGGUGGUUUAUCCAUAAUGUCCAGGAACUGCUAGAUGUAAGGAACAACAACAAGAUGUGACCAAACUCAAGAGAAAAGACAAGGGAGCUAACUCGAUGUGAUCCAGAAGCUACUAGUGGGGAAAAUUAUAACAGCAGGUGUAAUACAGGCCCAGGAGCAACAUCAGAGUACUGAACAGGACUGGUACACUUGAAGCAACAGUAAAAGCCACCACCAAAAAUGAAAACCAGAGAGAAUUCUGGAAAAAAAAGAGGACAAUCAGUUGAACCAGGGGAUGGUAUACACAGAUAAUUGGAGUUCCAUAAGGAGAGGAGAGAGGGACAGGAGGGAAUUUCCCCCAGACAGGGAGAAAGCACUAGUGGUCACACGCUGGUAAAGGAAAGGUACCCAGAAUUCAUAAGGGCCACAAGCAACGUUGAGAAGACAAACCCCCAACAAACUGACAGGGGAGGAUUCGGGCACUUGGAGGAGGAGACGAACCUAUGAGCAGCUGCGCAACACCGGUGGUCAGAGAGAGAGGGGCACUGAAACCACCAUGAGCUACCGCGACGCACCCACCAGGAUGGCAGAAGUGAAAGACGGGUCGUACCGAACGUGCGCGGAGACGAGGCACAGCUUUGGAGGUCGUGAGCAAAAGUGGCCGCUCGCGCAUAGAAUACCGCCUUUACUUGUAAACGUGACUGCAGGUAAGCGUGGCUACUCAGACUCGGGUUCGUGGCAGACUGUCUCAAAAAGGAACCAAGGGGGCCACCACAUCAAGGAAAAGAGUAAGAGGCAAUAGUUUUGCCAAGGAUAAAAUCUGAGCUUUCAAACGGAAGGAUCUCAGAAACCUUAUGUAUCGGCCACCACGAGCCGGACGUCUUCCCAAUGCCACAUUUUCUGACGAGGCUGGUGGUGAUUUCUGCAAAUAUGGUGUUCUGAUACGUAUAAUGAAACGUGUCAACAUCUUCUAACUCCGCAAACAACAUGAUGUCAUAAAACGAUGCGUGCGUAAAAGAUCUGAGACAGACCAUCGAGUUUUAAAUGUGACAGAAUACAACGGCAUUCCAACAUCGCAACUAACUUUUGAGAAUUGCCACCUGGGGCGCCUAGGUGGCUCAGCUGACUUCAGGUCAGGUCAUGAUCUCAUAGUUCGUGAGUUCGAGCCCCAUAUUGGGCUCUCUGCUCUCAGCACAGAGCCUGCUUCAAAUCCUCUGUCCUCAAAAAUAAAUAAACAUUAAAAAAAAAAAGAAUUACCACUUGUUGACUUGUGGCGCAGCAUCAAAGGUGGCCUGCACGUGUCUGAAGAGGCCCCUUCACCUACGUAUUGCUGUGAGGCUACAUUUUCUUCAUGUAUUUCAGCUAAGAAAAACCCUAUUUUACCAAAUUGAGUGCAAAAGCAGAAACUGAUCCCAUCGGAUUUAGCCAGGUAAGAGAUUUGGAGAAAUGUAACAUAGUGCUACUUUCCUCAGUCAAUUUGUUUUGCAAAAUAUAAAAAAUAUAAAAUAGCUUCAAUGAAAAUGUUACUUAUGUUAACAUAUCGCGGGUUUAAGUAAAUUAACAAAUAUUUUUACAUUAGUUUUAUUGGGUAAUAGUAAAUCCUGGUAGGUGCGCCCCACACAGACCAAUGGUCUUUGGGUCCUCAAUAACUUUCCUAGUGCAAAGGGGUCCAGACACCAAAAUGUCUGAGAAGUGCUCUGCUAAAAUGAAUCACCGAAACCCUUCCGCAAAGAAAGCUCCAGGCCAGGUGGGUUCAGGUAGGCAUUCUAUCAAGGAAGGAAGAAAUCACAGCAAUCUUACAUAAACUCUUCUGGAAAAUACGGGAGGUGGGCAUGCUCCCCAGUGCAUUUUAUAAGGCUAGAAUAACCUUGAAACCAACCGUGAAAAAGACACUACAAAAAGGAAGAAGUCUGGCAGUUUCUUAAAACGUUAAACACACACUUACCACACAACCCCAUCAUCCCAGCCCUGGGCAUCUACCCGAGUGUCUGCGAACCAAGCGGGAAGGGCAGGGCACCUGCGAUUCUCAGAGAGCUCAGAAAAAUACCCAUGUUAGGUAGAAAAUAGAAAUUUGAAAACACACACGUGAAAUGAGUAAGUAAACGUAGCAAAAUGUUUAAACCUGCCAAAUCUGAUGAAGGGUUAUGUGUGGGUUCUCUUAUUCUUGUAAUUCUCAGUUUGAAAUUAUUCCAAAUAAAAAAGGCUGAAAAAUCAAA
Felis catus (domestic cat) is the source of this 3258-nucleotide long non-coding RNA. RefSeq lists it as uncharacterized. NCBI's taxonomy places the organism in Eukaryota, Metazoa, Chordata, Mammalia, Carnivora, Felidae. The record is from RefSeq and is a predicted model, not a curated record. The transcript has 2 exons.